UGGUUUGGAUUUGGUGUUUUGAAGUGGGUAGGAUUCAGAGUUUUGAUGGUGUAGAUGAGAUGGGACGAAAUGCAGGUGCACUACUAAUAUUGUAAUGCCUGAUCACUGUGGGAGAUUGGAUCAUUAUACGAUUGAAUUUUAGAAGAUACGAAGAGAUCAUCAGGGAAAUGUAUCAGUGGAGGAAAUUCGAGUUUUUUGAGGAGAAGUACUCGGGGAAAUUGCAAUUCUCGGAAGAGAUUAAGGGGACGAUCGAAUGCUGCUCCGGCGGCAGAGGUAGGAUCCUCUUCGGCUGCGACGACGGCACUGUUUCUCUUCUCGAUCGUGGCCUCAAGUUCAAUUACUCCUUCCAAGCUCACGCUUCCUCUGUCCUCUUCCUUCACCAGCUCAAGCAACGGAACUUCUUGCUAUCAGUUGGAGAAGAUGAGCAAAUAUCUCCCAAAGUAUCAGCUACAUGCCUUAAAGUUUUUGACCUUGACAAGAUGCAGGCAGAGGGGACGAGUACAUCAACUCCAGAAUGUGUUCAAAUAUUGCGGAUAUUCACCAAUCAGUUUCCUGAAGCAAAGAUCACUUCAUUUUUGGUAAUAGAGGAAGCUCCUCCAAUAUUAUUCAUUGCUAUUGGUUUAGACAAUGGUUGCAUCUAUUGUAUUCAAGGGGAUAUUGCACGUGAGCGUAUUAAGCGCUUUAAGCUUCAGGUGCAUAAUCAUGCAAACAAAAGCCAGGCUUCCAUUACUGGUCUUGGAUUUAGAGGGGAUGGCCCGGCCCUCCAGUUGUUUGCUGUCACUCCAGGAUCAGUGAGCUUAUUCAACUUCCAGGCUCAACCACCUAGCCGGCAAACGCUUGAUCAGAUUGGAUCUUCUAUCCCUAGUGUUGCAAUGAGUGACCGCUCGGAGUUUAUAAUUGGUCGACCAGAGGCUGUAUACUUCUAUGAGGUUGAUGGUAGGGGUCCUUGUUGGGCCUUUGAAGGAGAGAAGAAGUUCCUUGGUUGGUUCCGCGGAUACCUUCUUUGCAUUAUUGCUGAUCAAAGAACAGGGAGGAAUACUUUCAAUGUUUAUGAUCUGAAGAACAGGUUAAUUGCACACAGUGUAGUGGUUAAUGAUGUUUCUCACAUGAUUUGUGAAUGGGGUAACAUAAUUCUUAUAAUGAUGGAUAAAUCUGCUUUAUGUAUUGGUGAAAAGGAUAUGGAGAGUAAGCUGGAUAUGCUUUUCAAGAAGAAUCUUUAUACUAUUGCUAUUAACCUAGUCCAGACUCAGCAAGCUGAUGCCGCUGCUACAGCUGAAGUGUUGAGGAAAUAUGGGGAUCAUUUAUAUAGCAAACAGGACUAUGAUGAGGCUAUGGCUCAAUAUAUUCACACCAUUGGUCAUCUGGAGCCUUCAUAUGUGAUACAAAAGUUCUUGGAUGCACAAAGAAUCUACAACCUUACCAAUUACUUGGAAAAGUUGCAUGAAAAAGGGCUUGCUUCAAAAGACCAUACUACCCUGUUGUUGAAUUGUUAUACUAAACUGAAAGAUUUCGAGAAGCUGAAUGCAUUCAUUAAAUGCCAGGAUUCAGUUGGUGAACAUAAGUUUGAUGUGGAAACUGCAAUAAAGGUAUGCCGUGCUGCAAAUUAUUAUGAGCAUGCAAUGUAUGUUGCCAAGAAGACUGGGCAACAUGAUUGGUACUUAAAGAUCUUGCUUGAAGACCUUUGUAGAUAUGAUGAAGCAUUGAAUUAUAUUAAUAGUCUUGAGCCAAGUCAGGCUGGGGUGACAGUUAAAGAGUAUGGAAAAAUUCUUAUAGAGCACAAGCCCAAAGAAACAAUUGAGAUACUGAUGAAGCUUUGCACAGAAGAAGGAAAAGCAGGCAAGAAAGCUGCAACCCGUGUUACAUAUGUUUCCAUGUUGCCAUCUCCCAUUGAUUUUAUUAGUAUUUUUGUCCAUUAUCCACAGUCACUUUUGGAGUUCCUUGAACAGUAUACCAGCAAAGUUAAGGACUCACCUGCUGAAGUGGACAUUCAUAACACACUUGUGGAAUUAUACUUGUCUCGUGACCUUGAUUUCCGAUCAAUUUCACAAACUAGUAUUGGUGGAAAUGAAAAUGCUAAAGCAGAAAGACCUUCUGUUUCAAAAGCAGGAUUUAAUGGGAGGGCAAAUUUGAAUAGAACAGAUGUAAAUGAAGAGAAAAGUCUCCGAGAAAGACAAAUGAAGGGGCUAAGCUUGCUUAAGAGUGCAUGGCCUUCUGAAGAAGAACAACCACUAUAUGACGUUGAUCUUGCCAUAAUUUUAUGCGAAAUGAAUGGUUUUAGGGAAGGGUUAUUAUUUCUUUAUGAGAAGAUGAAACUCUACAAAGAGGUGAUUGCCUGCUACAUGCAGGCACAUGAUCAUGACGGUUUAAUUGCUUGCUGCAAGAGACUCAGUGACUUGGGUAAAGGUGGUGAUCGCUCUCUUUGGGCAGAACUAUUGAAGUACUUCGGUGAACUUGGGGAAAACUGCUCCAAUGAAGCAAAACAAGUAUUGACUUACAUUGAAAAGGAUGAUAUCUUACCUCCCAUUAUUGUUCUUCAGACUCUGUCUAGAAAUCCAUGCCUUACACUUUCUGUAAUCAAAGAUUAUAUGGUACGUAAGCUGGAACAGGAGUCAAGGUUGAUUGAAGAAGACAGGACAGCUUUUGAAAAGUAUCAGGAAGAGACAUCUAUAAUGAGAAAAGAAACCGAAGAUCUUAGGACCAAUGCCAGAAUCUUUCAGCUUAGCAAAUGUACUGCUUGUACGUUUACCCUUGACCUUCCUACUGUCCACUUCAUGUGUAUGCAUUCAUUCCAUCAGCGUUGCCUUGGUGACAACGAGAAAGAAUGCCCUGAGUGUGCUCCUGAGUACAGAGCCCUUGUCGAGUCAAAGAGAAGCUUAGAGCAAGGUUCCAAAAGCCAAGACCAAUUCUUCCAGCAGGUUAAAAGUUCAAAAGAUGGAUUUUCAGUGGUUGCAAAAUAUUUUGGAAAAGGGAUUAUCAGCAAAACUAGCAACAAUGGAAUUGCCAAUAAACCAAGCAACAGUUCUGACGAUGAGUUCUGAAAUGUUGAUGGUCUUAUGCUCUAUAACAAAUAAUUCAGUUUCACCUACUAUGUUUCUUGAAAUUUUUAUUGCUCUGUGAUAAGAAGUGAGAGGGCUUGUUUUCUGAUUGAGCUAAAUCUAGGGUCUUGUUUGCUUACCAAAUAGCCACCUGCAUUUCUGAGGUAACCUCUCCACAAGAAUUUCAAGGGGUACAUGUGAAGGGCAUAUGUCUUCAACGUUACUGGUGUUCGUCAGUACAAGCUCUUAACCCCUGGGUCUGUAGUUUUUGUCUGAUUUUGGUUACCCCUAUUUAUGGCACUGUUCCAUUGACAUUUAUUAAUGGUUUUGCUUAUAAUCUGAAAUUUGCUGUAGAGUGCCAUUCACCAAUUCUUACCAGGGAAGCAGAAUGAAAUGCUCUUGUGGAGCCAGAAAAGGAGUUGCAGAGCCUGAGAAUGCAUCCCUCUGGAUCCCUAUUCCUCCGUUGACUUCAUAGCUGGGAGUCUAUUCAAAAAAAAAAAAAACUUUAUCUAUAUGGAACUAUGAAAUUUCCAUAUAGUUGAAUAUAGGGUGAUUGUGCUGUAGACUCUAGUAUUAUGCUAUGGUUGCCACCCUAGUGACACUUUGGUUCUUUGGGAGUGAUAGUCGAGAAUAUGUAGAAAUGUGAUUUUUUUUUUCAUAAUUGUGCAUU
Molecule: RNA transcript, 3705 nt
Organism: Ipomoea triloba (trilobed morning glory)
Lineage: Eukaryota; Viridiplantae; Streptophyta; Magnoliopsida; Solanales; Convolvulaceae
Gene name: vacuolar protein-sorting-associated protein 11 homolog
Exons: 6
Source: RefSeq, a predicted model, not a curated record